UUCCUGUCCAACGUUAAUCGGGGCAGGGUGAGUCGACCCCUAAGGCGAGGCCGAAAGGCGUAGUCGAUGGGAAACAGGUUAAUAUUCCUGUACUUGGUGUUACUGCGAAGGGGGGACGGAGAAGGCUAUGUUGGCCGGGCGACGGUUGUCCCGGUUUAAGCGUGUAGGCUGGUUUUCCAGGCAAAUCCGGAAAAUCAAGGCUGAGGCGUGAUGACGAGGCACUACGGUGCUGAAGCAACAAAUGCCCUGCUUCCAGGAAAAGCCUCUAAGCAUCAGGUAACAUCAAAUCGUACCCCAAACCGACACAGGUGGUCAGGUAGAGAAUACCAAGGCGCUUGAGAGAACUCGGGUGAAGGAACUAGGCAAAAUGGUGCCGUAACUUCGGGAGAAGGCACGCUGAUAUGUAGGUGAGGUCCCUCGCGGAUGGAGCUGAAAUCAGUCGAAGAUACCAGCUGGCUGCAACUGUUUAUUAAAAACACAGCACUGUGCAAACACGAAAGUGGACGUAUACGGU
This 514-nucleotide ribosomal RNA is filed under the name Escherichia coli. RNAcentral describes it as "bacterial LSU rRNA". It matches the Rfam family "Bacterial large subunit ribosomal RNA", at positions 1352 to 1851 of the family's 2925-position model. The record is from RNAcentral. Lineage: Bacteria; Pseudomonadati; Pseudomonadota; Gammaproteobacteria; Enterobacterales; Enterobacteriaceae.